RNAcentral lists this long non-coding RNA (2242 nucleotides) under Sus scrofa (pig). RNAcentral's name for it is "lncRNA (ENSSSCG00060064481.1)". The record is from RNAcentral. Lineage: Eukaryota; Metazoa; Chordata; Mammalia; Artiodactyla; Suidae.
CAAUUUCGAAAUCAUGAUAUGAAGUAGCUUGUACUUCUAUAGGGCUCUGUAUUAACUUUUAAAAGAGAUUAGAACAUGAGAGCACAAAGAGGAGAUCUGUGAGAAGAGUUCAUUCCCUCAACAGAGGAAUCCAGAUGCCACCUUUUCCCCAGUGAGCACUGCGUAAGCUCCUCUUAAAUCCCAAAGUGAUCAUUAUUCUCCAGAUUUAGAUAACUCCAAACUUAGCCUGUCAAGAAAGACUCAGUAAUUAUUUAACAAUCAGUCACCCAAGGAACUCAGGAACCUCUAGGAGAGGAAUAAGACUAGACCCCCAAAGCAGCUGAAACAAUAAUACUACUUUAUCUCCAAAAGAGUUCAUAGACUAGAUACCUGCCCACUAUCUAGUCCUUAAAACAGGCACAAAAAAAGAAAGCAAGGAAGACAAAACCAAUUUUUGCCCAUUUAACCGAACCCCUGCCAUUUAUUAUUUUUCCCUGCUCCCUAAUUGUUGACUUCUUGGCUCCUUCAUCCCCACUUCAACAACUGUUUCCAGUCUCCUUGAUUUUGACAAUUCCUUUAUAUCUUCUUGGAUUUCAAUCUCAUGUUAUAAUCUGAACUUGGCUCAUCUCUCUGAUUUUGGCAUAUCUACUAGUAUACAAAUCUGUAUAGGAUAUUAUUUGCUUCUCUUCCUCCUUUUCUUCAUUAGUUGAGGUUGUAAAAUUCAGAUAUCUAUAAACUGAAACAUGCAGUCUCCACAUAAUCAACCACUCACAAACUGGCCACCACUACAGCGUAAUGGAAAAAUUUAAUAAUAUAAAAAUGUAAAGCAUCUAAUACAGUGUACUGAAUUCAGCAAUGGUCCAAUUCUAAUAUGCAUUCCAUGAGGAAAAGAAGGGAGGAAGGAAGGAAAGGAGGGAGGGAGGAAGGAAGGAAGGAGGGAGGAAGAAAUGAAGGAAGGAGGGAGGAAGAGAGGUAACAAAGAGGAGGAGGGAGGGAGGAAAGGAAGGAAGGAAAGAAGAAGAGGAAAUAGAUUUGGAAGCUGCCUUAGUCAGAGUCAUUGCAUAUAGAUCAUCAUAACUGCUUUACCUCAUCAUCAUGAGAAAUAAGACUGAAAUUAAUUUCAAAAUGGAUUUUCAGGAGAGAGGUGGAGGCCGCAUAUGCAAGAAAAAAACCCAUAACAUCUCCUUGUUGGCUUUAUUGAAUCUUUAUAAUUUUCCAAGACUGGGAAUGCAUUAAACCCAAGACAUACAAAUGAAAUUGGUCUUUGACUAACAAAAGCCAAUCCAUUUGCUUAUUUAUUCACUCAACAAACAUAUAAUUCACUCAACAAAUACAUAAUAAGAACCAACAAUACACUUUCACAUACAACACCAAAAGAAGAAAAUACUGGGCAGGUGGAGUCUAUAAAUGCAAACUGAACCCUUCAUGAAGCUCAGGCCUAACUCAUUUCUUCUAGCAGUGCCAUCUCUUUGUUCACCUCUCUAAUAUCCCUCUAUAGUAAAGUUCCAAUCUGAGUGUUAACUACAAUAAUAAUUCUACAUCACCUGAAGAUCCUCUCUCUUCAACAACAUAUCCGAACAACAACAUCAUUUCAAUUCACCCUCAGAAAAACAUUCAAGCCUGCUGGUUUUUAGUACUCAAGCAUGAUGGCCACCCCCCUCCAACUCUAUUUUCACCAAUUAUAGAACAACCACCAUUUUAAAAUAAGUGAUUUCCUUCUAAGACACAUCCUUCUUCAGAGAGCCUCCACGUUCCACCCCAUCUACAUGAGCAAUUCCUUAAUUUUGUUGUAUAUCAAGAAGAUAAACUAGACCUAACCAAUCCUGGAGAUACAAUAAAAUCAACAGAAACAUCUUAGGAAAAUAUACUUCUAAGUUUUAAAAGACAAGACUUUUCUCUGAUUCUGAAUGUUCUCUGGACUUUUUUUUUAAUGAAUAACAUCCUGUUUUGAAAUAUAGCAAGAUAUGGAUCCAAAUGCAGAGCCUAUGAUAAGAAAAUUUUGUUUCUGUAUAUUCACAUUGAUUUUUUUAGAAGAGACUUAUACUUUACAAAAUAAGACCUUUUAUAACAGGCAGUCUAUGAUACAAAUUUAGUAGAUGUCUGAAACAUUCCAUUUAAUGUCAGAGCAGCCUUUUCUCCAUUACAUGGUAUAUACAAUAUGCAAUAAUGUUAUUCAUUCUUUCAUUCAAAAAUACAAUUUAGCCUUUUCUAAAAUGCCAGGCAAUGUGCCUCAGACUUGGGGUAAAACAGUAAAUAAAACAUA